CCGACGCGCGGCACCGCAGCGCGCAGUGCCGCGCGUGGGGCGGAGGCGGGAGCCGGGCUGGGGUCAAGGUCGGCGCGGGCAAGCGGUGGGGGCCCGCAUGCGCCUCACCCGGCCCAGCGCUUUGCAGCUGCUGUCACGCGCGCACACUCAGGCUUGGCCGGAGCCUGCCGCGUGCUGGCAGCUGAAAUCCAGGCGUUUCCACGGUUGCAGUAGCUGUGAGAUCCCAGCAGAGUAUCCACCUCACGCAGGGAACCCAAGCCAGACGGUAAAAAGAGGGUGAGCUUGUCCCAUUGCACUGAUGUGUCUCAAGGAUAUCCCUACUAUGUAGACAUAAACCUCCUUGAUGAAAAGAUGGACAGUGCCCGGCAAGUGGAAAUGCUAACUACCGCAUGGUUCUGAGAAGUAAAGCGAUUACAGACACUGGCUCCACAUCAGAGGGGGCUUGCACCAUCCAUUCCAAGUGCUCGGUGAACACCUGCUGGGUACCAGGCACAGGACAGGGUUGGACAGAGAACAGUAAGCAGGCCCCGGCUGCCACGUUCCAGCCUGUGUGAAAGAAGGACCAUUGAGAUGUGAAAGAACACCCAUUGAGAUGGAGGAGCAGCACCCAGGAGAUGCUCUCAGGGUCUGGCCGCAUUGCUGCUCUUUACAUUGAGCCGCGGAAGGAAGAGAUGUGAAGGAGACAUACCCGAACCAGGGCUUCCAAAGCUUUGUUCUUUCAUCCAGGGGCUGUGUCCAUGCCGGACACAAGUGCCGGAAGAGAGCAGGACCACAGGCCCCCUGCCUGACCUUGAGCUGUAUGUCUGACUCACUCCCAGUGAUGGGCACUCAGCACGAAGCUGCCUCGGGAAAUCAGGCCACUCCAUCCAUCUGACUGGGCUGCUGGGCGCCGCUUUCAUCUCUGUCCUUGGCUGGGGGUAGGCUGUCCAUCUCUACAAGAUGGAAACAGCACUUUGAACUGCAUGGAAAAAAUGUACAGAGAGGAGACAAAUAUUCUUGGCCAAGCUUUCAGAGGAAAUAUAAGGAGCAUCUUUUGUUGUCAUGAGGCAACUCUGGACGAGCUCAUGGAUGGGGGCUGGUCACCAGAAAGACCAUGCCAGCGUUAGAUGCCAAAGUUUUAGCCCCACCACUAUCCUCUGGGAG
Bos taurus (domestic cattle) is the source of this 1143-nucleotide long non-coding RNA. The record is from Ensembl. Lineage: Eukaryota; Metazoa; Chordata; Mammalia; Artiodactyla; Bovidae.